GUAGUCCACGCCUUAAACGAUGGGUACUCGGUGCUGGACCGCAAGGUUCAGUGCCAAAGCUAACGCAUUAAGUACCCCACCUGGGGAGUACGAUCGCAAGGUUGAAACUCAAAGGAAUUGACGGGGGCCCGCACAAGCAGUGGAGCAUGUGGUUCAAUUCGAUGCAACGCGAAGAACCUUACCUGGGUUUGAAAAGCCAGUGACAGCCGAUGAAAGUCGGUCUUGUAGCAAUACACACUGGUACAGGUGCUGCAUGGCUGUCGUCAGCUCGUGCCGUGAGGUGUUAGGUUAAGUCCUGCAACGAGCGCAACCCCUACAUUUAGUUGCCAUCAGGUAAUGCUGGGCACUCUAAAUGGACUGCCUACGCAAGUAGCGA
This 376-nucleotide ribosomal RNA is filed under the name uncultured bacterium. RNAcentral describes it as "bacterial SSU rRNA". It matches the Rfam family "Bacterial small subunit ribosomal RNA", at positions 790 to 1167 of the family's 1533-position model. The record is from RNAcentral.